AGGAUGAACGCUGGCGGUAUGCUUAACACAUGCAAGUCGAACGGACUUCUUCGGAAGUUAGUGGCGGACGGGUGAGUAACGCGUGAGAAUCUGCCUUCAGGUUCGGGACAACCACUGGAAACGGUGGCUAAUACCGAAUGUGCAGAGAUGUGAAAUAUUAAUAGCCUGAAGAUGAGCUCGCGUCUGAUUAGCUAGUAGGUGUGGUAAAAGCGCACCUAGGCGACGAUCAGUAGCUGGUCUGAGAGGAUGAUCAGCCACACUGGGACUGAGACACGGCCCAGACUCCUACGGGAGGCAGCAGUGGGGAAUUUUCCGCAAUGGGCGAAAGCCUGACGGAGCAAUACCGCGUGAGGGAGGAAGGCUCUUGGGUUGUAAACCUCUUUUCUCAAGGAAGAAAAAAAUGACGGUACUUGAGGAAUAAGCAUCGGCUAACUCCGUGCCAGCAGCCGCGGUAAUACGGAGGAUGCAAGCGUUAUCCGGAAUGAUUGGGCGUAAAGCGUCCGCAGGUGGCUAUGUAAGUCUGCUGUUAAAUAGUCUAGCUCAACUAGAUAAAGGCAGUGGAAACUACAUGGCUAGAGUGCGUUCGGGGCAGAGGGAAUUCCUGGUGUAGCGGUGAAAUGCGUAGAGAUCAGGAAGAACACCGGUGGCGAAAGCGCUCUGCUAGGCCGCAACUGACACUGAGGGACGAAAGCUAGGGGAGCGAAUGGGAUUAGAUACCCCAGUAGUCCUAGCCGUAAACGAUGGAUACUAGGCGUGGCUUGUAUCGACCCGAGCCGUGCCGUAGCUAACGCGUUAAGUAUCCCG
This 804-nucleotide ribosomal RNA is filed under the name uncultured bacterium. Its description in RNAcentral is "bacterial SSU rRNA". It matches the Rfam family "Bacterial small subunit ribosomal RNA", at positions 26 to 871 of the family's 1533-position model. The record is from RNAcentral.